GCGCGCUCGUCUGGGCGUCGUCGCGGCUGCCUCUGCGGCUCGGGAGCUGCAGCUCGGAGGCUGUGGCUGCGGGAGUCCGCGGGCGCCGUCGCAGGGGCACGAACCCGACGAAUCGGAGGAGGAGGCCGGGGACGUGGAGUCCCAGUGGCCGGCCCAGCCCCAGCCCUGGGCGAAGAUCCAGUGGUCGUGGCCGAGGAGGCUCUGCGGAGGAGGCGACUGGGCCAUGGCCGGGCUGCAGGCUCUGGGAGGCUGGGUUGGCCACCUCCAGGCCUGAGCUUUUAUGUUGACCAAAGGUGCGAGGUGGCCCCCCGCCAGGUUGCAGAGAGGUGUCAAAACCCACAGAGCCCAGGGAAAGUCUGGGCAGGGGGCCCCUGGGAAAGCGGGCCCAUUUGCGGAGGUGUGGAUUCUGACUCCUUGGGGGCUCUAAAUGGAGGCCCCUGCAGCCCGGGAAGUAUGGGAGGGACAAUUCGCAUCUGGAUGGAGCUGCUAAGCUUCUCACCACGCUCCCACCCACGCCCCUGCCCCGUCCACUGCUCACGACUUGGUCUAUCGUCCAGGCUGGAGUGCAGUGGCACCAUCUCAGCUCACCGCAACCUCUGCCUCCUGGGUUCAAGUGAUUCUUCUGCCUCAGCCUCUCAAGUAGGUGGGACUACAGGUAUGCACCAUCACGUCUGGCUAAUUGUUGUAUUUUUAGUAGAGACUGGUUUUUGCCAUGUUAGCCAGGCUGGUCUUAAACUCCUGACCUCCAGUGAUCCACCCGCCUUGGCCUCCCAAAGUGCUGGGAUUAUAGGCGUCAGCCACUGCGCCUGGCCGAAUUCAUAUUUAGCAACCAGUAAAUGUCGAGCACACAGGGUGAAUGAGCUAGUCAUGGUCUCUGCUCUAAUGAGAUUUCAGUCUUGUGGGAAAGAAAAGUGAACAGGCCAUUGUAUGACAGUAGCUGUAUGCCCUUAGGCAGAGCCCUUAACCUGUUUGAGCUUGAGCUUCUGCUCAGUAAAACAGGAAUAAUGAUAGUAUCUACAUGGGAUUGUGUAAGGGAUAGUUGAGAUAGUAAAAUUUAUAAAGUAAAUGAUAUUCUCAGCAACAAUUACAGUUUAAAGGAGAUUGUCAAUGUCCUGUGUGGUCUUGGGGAAAGGGCUGAGUCCUGAGGCUAAGAGUCAAAAGAAGACCAGGGACAUUAGGGUUCUGGCCACAGAGGUGAAGAAGUCAUAGCUGGGCCUUGAACCAUGCGUAGGAUUUGAGUAGGGAGAGAGGCAGGUGCCGUGCUUUCCGGAUGGGAACUGCAUAAGCAAAGACCUGGCCUUGGGACCUUCCAAGAUGCCUUAGGAGCAGGGCACUGGGGUGGUGAUGUGGAAGGCCAGAGCACACCUGGGCUGGGGCCAGGUUAAGGAGUUGGUUUUGGGAGCCAUAGGGACUUUUGAGCGGAAGGGUGAUACAAUUUUAAAAAUCAUUAGCUAAUAACUAACUAAAGAUCAACAUGACAAUGGUGUUCAAGAAGAGAUUAACCUGCAGCAGCCUGAAGUAGCAAAUGGCUUCGUAAUUAUUUAAUCAUUAUUAUCAUUUUUUGUGGAGUUGGGUUUUACCCAGGCUGGUCUUGAACUCCUGGGCUCAAGUGAUUUGCCCUCCUCAGCCUCCCAAAGUGCUGGGAUUACAGGCAUGAGCCACCAGGCCCAGCUGCCUUGUAAUAUUUUUGUGGCUGAUUUUAUUUUAUUUUAUUUUAUUUUAUUAUUUGUUUUAUUUUUGAGACAGGGUCUGUCGCCCAGGUUGGAGUGCAGUGACAGCUCACUGCAACCUCCGCCUCCCAGGCUCAAGGAAUCCUCCUGCUUCAGCCUCCUGAGUAGCUGGGACCACAGGUGCACGCCACCAUGCCUGGCUAAUUUUUGUAUUUUUAGUAGAGAUGGGGUUUCGCCAUGUUGGCUAGGCUGGUCUCGAACUCCUGGCCUCAAGUGAUCGCCUGCCUCAGCCUCCCAAAAUGCUGUUAUUACAGGCGUGAGCCACUGUGCCCAGGCUUCAUUUAUUUUAAUUUUAGAGACAGGGUCUCACUCUGUUGCCCAGGCUGGAGUGCAGUGAUGCAAUCUUGGCUCACUGUACCCUAAAACUGUGUUCAAGUGAUCCUCCUGCCUCAGCCUCUCAAGUAGCUGGGACUACAGGCGCAUACCACUAUGACUGGCUAAUCUUUUUUUUUGUUUCUUUCUUUUUUUUUGAGGGAGGGCGUGGCUAUUUUCAAAAAUUAACUUUUAAUUACACAAAUUAUGUAACUACUACCUUUCACUGUGAGAAAUGGAAACAUUACAGAUAAAGUUGGAGUCUCUUUAACCAACCCCAUAAACCCCCAAAAGGUAACAGCUGUUAUUAGGCUGUGUGUGUAGUUCCAGACCUGGCCAGUGGGUUAACAUAAACGUGUAUCCUUAGCAAACACACAGUAACCCUCCAGUUACAUUAUGUACAUUGUUAUGUGUAAAUGUCAGCUUGUAAUUUGUUUUUCUUCUUUUCUUUUUCUUUUUCUUUUUUUUUUUUUUCAUUCAACAGCAUGUUUCAGAGCAUUCCAUGUCAGGACAUAUUUUGCUGACUCACCCUUUAAAAAAAUAAUGGAUCAAAUUUUUAGUGGGGAUAAUCCCAGCACUUUGGAAGGCUGAGGUGAGAGGUUGGCUUGAGCCCAGGAGUUCAAGACCAGCCUGGGCAACAUAGUCAGACCCCGCAUCUAAGAAAAAAAAAAAUUAGCCAGGCAUGGUGGGGUGGGCCCUGUAGUCCCAGCUACUUGGGAGGCUGAGGCAGGAGGAUCCCCUGAACCCAGGAGUUUGAGGUUGCAGUGAGCUAUGAUCGUACCACUGUGCUCCAGUCUGGCCACAGAGCAACACCCUGUCUCAAAAAAAAAAAAAAAAAAAAAGUACUGCCUGCGAAUACAGAUUUAACCAAAACCUUGGUUAUAGUUGAUCUAAAUGUUUUAAAUGUUUAUCUCUUUAAAUAAUUUUUUUCUUUAGACAGGGUUUCACUCUGUCACCCAGGCUGGAGUGCAGUGGGGCAGUCACCGCUCACUGCAGCCACCACCUCCCGGGCUCAGGUAAUCUUCCCACCUCAGCCUCCGGAGUAGCUGGGACUACAGAUGUGCACCAUCACUCCGGCUAAAAUUUGUACUUUUUGUAGAGACAGAGUUUCACCAUGUUGCCUAGGCAGGUCUCAUACUGCUGGGCUCAAGCAAUCCAUUCGCCUCGGCCUCCCAAAGUGCUGGGAUUACAGGUAUGAGUCACUGUACGCAGCCCAUGUAAAUAAUUUUAACUUUGGAAAAAAGGUAAAAUGGCAGAAGGUACGGAUACACCUUCAAUAAUGAAAUUAUGUCACUUUUUCUCCUCAGAAUUUAUUUUGAAAUAUAUCGGAGAAAAUAUGCCCAAGUCACUGCUCUAACGUUAUGAUGAAGUAACACUUGGUGUUGAAUAACUCUGGGCAAACAACUAUCGUUUAGUUUAUUCUAGCUGCUAUGAAUAAAGAAGAGAAAAUUUUAAUUGGUCCAUAACAUGAAAAGAAGGUGGGAUAGAUUUCAAACAGGCUUUCUUUGGAGAGAAGCAGUUAGUUAUGGAACAUUUCAUGGCUUAAAAGGGUUUAAACCAAAAUUUAAAAAAAACAACAACAAAAAACAACUAUUUCCUAAGGGGAAAUAAGGGACAACUUGUAAAACAUUCACCCCUAGACUUUUUGGGUUGAAAUAAUGGCACAUGUAGUGUAGGUACAUCAUUUAUUGGUCCGAGGCCACACAACACUAUAAAGCUCUUGACAUACUGUCUAUCAGGGAACUUGCAUGUAUCCAUUCAACAGUUAUAAACAAAAUUCAUCAGGCUUCAUAGAUAUGUCUUGAUCUAGGUGCUGCAUUUCAGAUAGAGCAGGUGCUGUUUCUAUUGGUGUUUCUUUAUUAUUUAUUUAUUUUUUUUGAGAUGAAGUUUCGCUCUUGUUGCCCAGGCUGGAGUGCAAUGGCAUGAUCUCAGCGCACUGCAACCUCCGCCUCCUAGGUUCAAGCGAUUUCUCCUGCCUCAGCUUCCCAAAUACGUGGGAUUACAGAUGCCUGCCACCACACCUGGCUA
RNAcentral lists this long non-coding RNA (4070 nucleotides) under Homo sapiens (human). RNAcentral describes it as "non-protein coding lnc-ANPEP-2:2". Lineage: Eukaryota; Metazoa; Chordata; Mammalia; Primates; Hominidae. The record is from RNAcentral.